RNAcentral lists this long non-coding RNA (5022 nucleotides) under Macaca fascicularis (crab-eating macaque). RNAcentral describes it as "lncRNA (ENSMFAG00000061802.1)". Lineage: Eukaryota; Metazoa; Chordata; Mammalia; Primates; Cercopithecidae. The record is from RNAcentral.
UUUUUUUUUUUUUUUUUAAUUAUUCAAUGGCAUUUAGCAGAUGGAGAAACUCUAGAUCACAGAGAAAGGCUCAAAUUAUAAUCAUACACAAACUUAUAUGAGUUCCAAUAAAAAGUUUUAAAGGCCCUAGUCACUUAUUUAUAAACAUAUGAAAUUACUUGUUUCCAUUUGGAAAAAUAGACUGAGUGACAUAACUGGAGAACACACUUAUUACUAAUAAAGCGGUGAACCACAAGUAGACAUUUGACACGUAAUAAAACAACUUCAAUAUAAUCAAUGUAAACUACAGAAAGUUCCCAUUUUUAGGAGUGUUGAAUCCACCAUCGCUACCACCGCCACCACCACCAUUACCACUACCACUAAAAAAAAUGUUUAAAAGAUGUUUAACUGGAAGCAGAAUUGUUUUAUAAAAAAUGCUUACAGACUAAAAUUUUGUCAGUACUCUUCUGAGUGUUCAGAGUUUAAAGCAUUCACCAAGGAAGCUAUUCUAAAAUCUUAAAUUGUCUAGUUUUAAAUAAGAAAACAAAAAUGAAAAUAGGAGCAGACCUCAUCCUCUUUUUCUUGUUGACCUCUUAGAACAGUCAGUUGCAUACAAAGUUAUUUCUAAUUAUAAGAUAUAAAAGUUCAUAAUAUUUCCCACUCACUUGGCUUAUUUGAAGUCUAUUACAAGAUAUGUAUUGAUUCUCGUAGGAAACUUUGUUAACUUACCGUCGCUAUUAGUCUUCAGAAUGAAUUACGUAAAAUCAGAAUGCAUAGCUAUGCCCCUUUGUAAUCAGCUGCCUCGCUCGAUUCCUACCAAAUUCAAAUUAAAGAAAAUAAUGGCUUUUGGAGACCAUUAGGAAUAAUUAACCUUUUUACAAUCCAUAAUUUGAUCGUGAAUAAUUAUGUAACAAUAGAAUAAUGAGACUUAUUUCUCUAUCAGUGUUUUUGUGUGGCCUAGUUAUGCCACAUUUGCCAAAUUAUAUUUUUAAAUGACCUAUUAAAAUUAUUCAACUCUAUAAACGUAAGAGCUAGAAAAGAUUUAGGUAAUUGCAAUGGAUGUGUUACUCAAGGUUGUAUUUUAUUUUCCUUUCUUAUUACUAAAAAUAUUAAUUCAAUAAAAAUGUUUUAUACUGAAUUAUUUCAAUGGGUUAGAUACUAUUAGUAGAUAAGUAAGCAAAUCUGACUUGGAAAUCAUUAUGGAACAUCAGUCCUGGAGAGGAGAAAGACAAUUGUCAGAAACCACACAAAUAAAUACAGAUUUACAAUUAGAAACAUGAUGAGAGAAAAAACAGUCUUCUGUGAAUGAGCGUGAUUUCCAAAGUUUUCCCUGAAACAGCAACCUGUGAACUAAAAGAUUUUUUUACUGUGGUAAAAUAUACAUGACUUAAUAUUUAUCAUUUUAACCACCAUUCACUGACAUUAAAAAUAUUCACAGUGUUCUACAACCAUUGCCACCGUCUACACCCAAAAUUUUUUCAGCAUCCUUAACAAAAAUAACUCCUCCUUCUGCCCCGGUAUCUUCUAUCUAUUUUCUAUCACUACAGAUUUGCCUGCUCUUGCUACCUCAUCACUACAGCCUGAAUGUUUGGGUCCCCUGAAGUUUUGUAUUUAAUAAUAUUUUUAUAUUUUGAAAAAUAUAUUUUAUUUUAUUAUAUAUUAUAUAAUAGUUAUUAUAUAUAUUAUUAUAUACAAUAUAAUAAUAUAUAAUACAAAGUAUAAUAUAAUAUAUUAUAUAUAUUAUAUAAUAGUCAUAUAUUUUUAAAUAUAGUGGCUAUUAUAUCCUAGGAGGCAUAGAGUGGUACCCCAUGAUUUUAAUUUUCAUUUCAUUAAUGAUACUGAGCAUCUUUUUACAUACUUAUUGGACUGUAUAUCUGCUUUGCAAAAAUGUCUAUUAAAGUGUUUGACCACUUUUGAAUUACUUUGUGUUUUGUUGUUGAGUUUUAGGAAUUCAUUGUAUAGUCUGGAUAUUAGUUCCUUAGCAGAUACAUAAUUUGAAAUUAUUUUCUCCUAUUUGUUAGAUCGUGUUUCUGCUUUCUUAAUAAUAUCCUUUGAUGCACAAAAGUUUUUUAAAUUUUGAUGAUGUUCAAUAUAUCUACUUUUUGUUUUGUGGCAUUUGCUUUUGGUAUGAUAUUCAUUAAAUUGUUGCUAAAUCCAAUCUACUGAGGAUUUUUCCUAAUGCUUUCUUCUAAGAGUUAUAGUUUUAGCUCUAAAGUUCAGGUUUUUUGAUCCAUUUUGAGUUCAUUUUUGUAUAUGCUAUAAAGUAAGGGUCAAACUUUGAUCUUUUGCAUGUGGAUAUCCAGUUUUCCCUGGAAAAGAUUUGUUGAAAAGAUUGUCCUUUGCCACUGAAGUCUUGGCACACUUGUAGAAAAUCAAUUGACCGUGUAUGUGAAGGUUUACUUCUGGGCUGAUAGCUGAUGUUUUAAGGAUGGACCAGAGUUAAAUUAGUCUGGCAUUUAAAGUCUCUUUGGGGUAAUUCUGAGUUAUUCAAUUUACUCUGGUUUUCCAGCAGAAUAUAAUAUAGGGUGACACUAAAUCCAUUCUUCUUUCUUGUCGUGCAACCAGUGUGAGUCGUAAAUAUGCCAGUUUGUUUUUUUUUUUUCUGGUAUCCAACUGGUCAUGAUGAUUCAGAAAAGCACAACUCCCAAGGCCAACCCAUUAAUUCUCAUAAAUAGUACAGAACAAAGUUGCAAGGAAGAAGAACCUAAUUAUCUAACAAUUAGUGAAGCCCACCUCACCCACAAUAAGAUUAGUAAUUUAGGCUAUAAUCAAGAGCAGUAUAACUUCUUCCAGGCAAUUAAAAGAUUUGUGGCAGGAGAAGGGAAGGGGAGUUGGAGUCGUCAGUGGGGAUUUAAUGACAAUUAACAGGGGAAAUUUCUGUAAUUUACACUAAUUAUAUUUUAGAUUUUUAUUAUCUAUCAAAUAUCUCUUCUUCAUUAAUUUACUUUGAAGGAAGGAAUAUAUCCAGUUAAGGAACUUACUGUAUUUUCUAACAUGAAAAUAAAUAAUUUCAUGUCUUCACUUAAAGUGAUUAAAAUUUUAUGCCUAUUUUUUGUUGAAUUUGAAUAUGAGUAUACCAUGAUUUUAAAAAUCGUGUCCCACUUUCAAACUGCAUCUUCUUAGAUUUAUAAUAAAUAAAAAGUGGGCUCAUUUCCAGGUUAUAUACCUUUUCGUGAUUGCUGCUUUAGCUACACAAAGACUCAGAUGAAGAUAGAAAUUAUUGCUUGUAAGAGGCUAAUCAAUUUUAUAGACAAGUCAACAUCAUCUUCCUGUCUCUCCUUGGGUUGUGAAGGUGCAGGUAAGAGGAGGAGAAGAGAAAAGGUGGGAAACAGUGUAGGGAUGGCAAUUCCCUCCCUCCAAUUACAUGUGUACGUAUGUUUAUUUAAACUCCAUGAUUUAAAUAUUUCAAGAUUAUACAUUUAAUUUUAACAGCAUUCAUUUGUACUGUCGCUGAUGGUUGCAUUGCUAUUUGAAAAGUGAAAUGGUCCAGUGUCCCCAAAAUAUUGUGUCUUUUUAUAUAAGACACAAAAAAAUUGUGUUUUCUUUUACAUAAAUGUUUCUAGAAAUGCAAUAGACAACAGUUUAUUUAUGUAUAUUAUGAAAUGGGAGAGAGAUUUUUUGCCACAUGAAGAAAUUCCAUGAUGUACUUAUUCCAAUGACUUACCAUAGAAAUUAUUCUGGAAUAUUAUGCUUAUUAAGACCUUGUACUUGGUUUGACAUCUGUCACUUUAAUUAUGUUUUCUAUAUUUUAAAGCUUUCUUGUUAUCUUUUAUCUAUUUUGCUUUUGGAUGAAGGAACCAUGUCCAUUUGCUUUUAUCUUUUAUCCAUGACUUGUGAGGUCAACACCCUAUUUUAAAGAUAAUAUUUCAUGAUUAUCUUGGAACAUUAAAAUUCUUUUACCUAAUUAUGUCUGCAAUAACUAUUGACUUCCUCUGAUGGAUGUCAAGGAAUUUUUCACUGAUGACAUCCCUGUCUUUGCUAUUUCUCUUUUAUAUUUUGCAUUAUGUCAACCUGGAUAUUUAAAAUAUUCUUUUAAAAGCAGACUUUCUUACUACACUUAAAUAUGAUAUUUUACUUUCGUCGUCAUAAUUACGCUCAAUUACUUAAUUUUCCUCUUACUAUUGAUUCAUGAUUUGCAAGUUUGUAUUUUGUUUUGUGUUUUAUUUAUCCUACAAUUUUAGAUAGUUUAAGUGAUUAUAACCACUUUUUCUCAAUCACAACUUCCCUAAUGAAGAAUGCAAUUGCUUAUUCAUCUCUUAAUUGUUCAGAGCACAUUUUGUAAUGCAUCUUGCUGGAAAACAGACUUGAGUGGCAAAUUUUCUAAGAAUUGCAGAUUUGAAAAUGGCCUCAUCUUGCCUUUUGAAAAUAAUUAGCCUUUGGCUAAAGAUCUAAUGUUUGAGUCUGUAUCUAUUAGAGAUGUGUGAAGUUGCAAGUAACACAAAUUGCAAUCACAGGUGUUUAUUUUCCUCAUACAACAAGAAGUCUAGAGGUAUAUUGUCGCUAGCCUUGGCUCAGAUGCCAAAACGGUGCUGGAGCUCCAGUCCUAAUGUCUGUGGUAGGCAGAAUAUUGGUCCCAAAGAUGUCCACAUCCUAAUCACUGGGACCUGUUAAUAACGCUCAUUUACAUAGCAAAGGAAAAUGAAGGUUGCUAAUCAGUUAACCUUGAGAUGGGGAGAUUACCCUGGAUUAUCCCAGCCAGCCGGACAUAAUCACAGAAGUUCUUAAAAGCGGAAGAAGAGGCCGGGAGCAAUGGCUCACACCUGUAAUCCCAGCACUUUGGGAGGCCAAGGCGGGCGGAUCACGAGGUCAGGAGAUCGAGACCAUCCUGGCUAACACGGUGAAACCCCGUCUCCACUAAAAAUACCAAAAAUUAGCCGGGUGUGGUGGCGGGCGCCUGUAGUCCCAGCUAUUCGGGAGGCUGAAGCAGGAGAAUGGCGUGAACCCAGGAGGCAGAGCUUGCUGUGAGCCGAGAACGCGCCACUGCACUCCAGCCUGGGCGACACAGUGAGACUUCGUCUCAAAAAAAAAAAAAAAAAAAAAAAA